GACGAACGCUGGCGGCGUGCUUAACACAUGCAAGUCGAACGGAAAGGCCCUGCUUUUGUUGGUUGCUCGAGUGGCGAACGGGUGAGUAACACGUGAGUAACCUGCCCUUGACUUUGGGAUAACUUCAGGAAACUGGGGCUAAUACCGGAUAGGAGCUCCUGCUGCAUGGUGGGGGUUGGAAAGUUUCGGCGGUUGGGGAUGGACUCGCGGCUUAUCAGCUUGUUGGUGGGGUAGUGGCUUACCAAGGCUUUGACGGGUAGCCGGCCUGAGAGGGUGACCGGCCACAUUGGGACUGAGAUACGGCGCAGAAUCCUACGGGAGGCAGCAGUGGGGAAUAUUGCACAAUGGGCGGAAGCCUGAUGCAGAAACGCCGCGUGCGGGAUGACGGCCUUCGGGUUGUAAACAGCUUUCGACUGUGACGAAGAGUGAGUGACGGUAAUGGGUAAAGAAGCACCGGCUAACUACGUG
Molecule: ribosomal RNA, 468 nt
Filed under: uncultured bacterium
Lineage: Bacteria
Description: partial 16S ribosomal RNA
Rfam family: Bacterial small subunit ribosomal RNA
Source: RNAcentral